GAGAAAGAGGAGAAGAGCGAACGGGGGAUGCCUAGGCUUCCGGAAGCGAAGAAGGACGUGGUAAGCUGCGAAAAGCCCCGGGGAUCCGCAAACAGGAAGUGAUCCGGGGGUGUCCGAAUGGGGGAACCCGCACGGCUGAAGGCCGUGGACAGGUCGUGAGACCUGGGCGUACGCAGGGAACUGAAACAUCUUAGUACCUGCAGGAGGAGAAAGAAAAAUCGAUUCCCUGAGUAGUGGCGAGCGAAAGGGGAGGAGCCCAAACCGAGUGCGUUUCGGCGCAGUCGGGGUUGUAGGAGCGUCCGAAUGUCGAGCAGCCAGGAACCGGAACCGUCUGGAAAGUCGGGCCGGAGAGGGUGAAAGUCCCGUACGGGUAACGGGGUUGUGAGACGGAUGCCACCUGAGUAGGGCGGGACACGAGGAAUCCUGUCUGAAUCUGCGGCGACCAUGCCGCAAGGCUAAAUAUACCCGGAAGACCGAUAGUGGACCAGUACCGUGAGGGAAAGGUGGGAAGCACCCCGGGAGGGGAGUGAAAGAGAACCUGAAACCGUUCGUUUACAAGCGGUCGGAGCCGAGAGGCGACGGCGUGCCUUUUGCAUAAUGAGCCUACGAGUUGCAUCACGGCGGCGAGGUUAAGCGCCUCAGGCGCGUAAGCCGGAGCGAGAGCGAGUCUAAAUAGGGCGAGGAGUCGCCGUGAGCAGACGCGAAACCUAGUGAUCUACCCAUGUCCAGGGUGAAGGCGCCGUAACAGGCGCUGGAGGCCCGAACCAGUUUCCGUUGAAAAGGGCUUGGAUGAGGCGUGGGUAGGAGUGAAAGGCCAAUCAAACUGGGAGAUAGCUCGUACUCCCCGAAAUGUCUUUAGGGACAGCCUCGGUCGUGUCUGCGUGAGGUAGAGCUACUGAUAGGAAGAGAGGGCUUCAUCGCCUAUCGAUUUCUGACAAACUCCGAAUGCGCGCAGAUUAGAGACCGGGAGUGAGUCGGCGGGUGCUAAUAUCCGUCGGCGAGAGGGUAAGAGCCCAGACCCUCGGCCAAGGCCCCCAAGAGCAGUCUAAGUUGAGACGAAACGAAGUGACGCCGCCAAGACAGCUAGGAUGUUAGCUUGGAAGCAGCUAUUCAUUCAAAGAGUGCGUAACAGCUCACUAGUCGAGCGGCGAUGCGUGGAUGAUGAACGGGCAUAAAGACUGCCGCCGAAGCCGGGGACGCGAGAGAUCGCGUGGUAGGGGAGCAUUGCGGACAGCGCCGAAGGUGUACCGUGAGGUAUGCUGGAGCGUCCGGAAAAGAAAAUGUAGGCAUAAGUAACGACAAUGGACGAUGGAAACGUCCACACCGAAAGCCCAAGGGUUCCUGAUCUACGUUAAGCGGAUCAGGGUUAGUCGGGGCCUAAGGGGAAGCCGAGAGGCGCACCCGAUGGGGAACCGGUAAAUAUUCCGAUACUCGCUUCGCAGGUGACCGGGAGACCGGGGAGUGACACUGCCGCCGUCAUACGGAGGACGGUUUAAGGACGUAGGGAGACUGAAAUCCGAAAGUACCGCGAGGCUUCGGCCGAGCGGAUAGCGCAGGUAAGCAGACCCGCAAGAAAAUCCCGGGAGCGUGUAGCGCGGAGCGACCCGUACCGUAAACCGACACAGGUGGGCGAGGAGAGUAUCCUAAGGUGCUCGAGUGAAUCAUGGCUAAGGAACUAGGCAAAUUGACCGCGUAACUUCGGGAGAAGCGGACCCUGGGGACAGGGCGCAGAGAAAUGGUCCAGGCGACUGUUUACCAAAAACACAUGGCUAUGCUAAAUCGAUAAGAUGACGAAUAUGGCCUGACACCUGCCCGGUGCCG
RNAcentral lists this ribosomal RNA (1821 nucleotides) under Candidatus Cryptobacteroides pullicola. Its description in RNAcentral is "partial 23S ribosomal RNA". It matches the Rfam family "Bacterial large subunit ribosomal RNA", at positions 1 to 1871 of the family's 2925-position model. Lineage: Bacteria; Pseudomonadati; Bacteroidota; Bacteroidia; Bacteroidales. The record is from RNAcentral.